CAUCAGUGCCUAAUACACAGUAAUGCUACCAAAUGAUUAUUUUUAAUACUCAGACAUGCUACCAAGUAACCAAAGGUAAAAUAGAGAAUUCAAGAAAAGGUAAAGUAAUAAUUUUAUAGAGUGAAGAGUUAAAAGGUAAAGAAAAAUCUAAAAUAAAAGUUAAUGAAAACUAAAAACUUAACUAAACAAACUAAGCUGCUACCCUCCAUAGCACCACAUCCUAUAACCCACUCUCUUCCUAUUAUUUAUCAAUGAUCUUCUAAAUCAAACUUCUUGUCUUAUCCCCUCCUACACUAAUGAUACCACCCUGCACUUUUCCAUGUCUUUUUCGUAGAGGUCCAACCCUUCAGGAAGUAAACAGCUCACAGUGGGAAGCCACAAAACACCUGACUUCUGAGCUCUCUAAAAUUUGUCAUUAGGGUAGAGCAAAUUUAGUAUUGUUCAAUGCCUCAAAACUCUAUGCCCCCAUCUAUCAACUCAACACAACCUUCCAGAUAUCUACUCCCUCUUCUUCACUGGCACUCAACUGUCCCCUCUUCUACAAUGAAUAUCCUCAUUCUGUCUUUUACUUAUAUGUAAUUUAGAAUGGAAACUUCAUAUCUCAUCUUUAGUUAAAGCAGCUUCUAUGAGGUCAGGAGUUUUGUGUUGUUUGCCAGUUUUUCUCACGCCCUUCCCCACCCUAAAUGUUAACUCUGUACAGGGGCCUUAUCUGUCCAUAUAUGGAGUUUACUUCAUAUGUAUGGAGGGAUUCCACUUACAUCACUGUUUUAGAGACAGUGGAAUCAAAAGCUUUUUGUCUUAUUGUAUCAUUAAAAUGAUAUGUUAACCAUCUAUUAUUUAUUUAUACAAUAUAUUUUUGUUAUCUGUGUUAAAGAAAAUGUAAGUUGUGUUUUGUUGGAAUGGGAGAAGUUUGGUACGCUUCUUUGUGGUGUUUUGUUUCACCCACUACCUGUGAACAUGGUCAGCCUGGCGGGUUGUCUAAGCCGGCCCACCAAUGUACUGUGGGUUGUUGUGUUGGGUGGUCCUCUGUGCUACAGACGGAGAAUGUAGGGACGCCCUGGACCUCAUGUCGGUUGGUGUGUUGGUUGGUCCUCCGUGCUACAGGUUAGUUGUGUUUAUUUACCCGCCAUGUGCUGUGAUUAGUAUAAUUUGGUGAAGGUUACAAAUAGAGGAUGUAUUAGUAAGAUAGGGUAAUGUACAAGGGAUAUAUUGUUGCCAGACAGAGUUGUGAGGACGCCCUGGACUGGAUGAUAGUUGGGGUGACAUGUCAGGUGUGCUACGGGGAUUCGAAGAGCGUCAGUGUG
Scylla paramamosain (green mud crab) is the source of this 1304-nucleotide long non-coding RNA. RefSeq lists it as uncharacterized. The transcript is spliced from 2 exons. Lineage: Eukaryota; Metazoa; Arthropoda; Malacostraca; Decapoda; Portunidae. The record is from RefSeq and is a predicted model, not a curated record.